UGGAGGNANNUUGGGAUGACGUCAAAUCAUCAUGCCCCUUAUGACCUGGGCUACACACGUGCUACAAUGGACAGAACAAAGGGCUCGAGACCGCAAGGUUUAGCCAAUCCCACAAAUCUGUUCUCAGUUCGGAUCGCAGUCUGCAACUCGNCUGCGUGAAGCUGGAAUCGCUAGUAAUCGCGGAUCANCAUGCCGCGGUGAAUACGUUCCCGGGCCUUGUACACACCGCCCGUCACACCACGAGAGUUUGCAACACCCGAAGUCGGUGAGGUAACCUUUAUGGNCCAGCCGCCGAAGGUGGGGCAGAUGAUUG
RNAcentral lists this ribosomal RNA (313 nucleotides) under Bacillus subtilis. Its description in RNAcentral is "bacterial SSU rRNA". It matches the Rfam family "Bacterial small subunit ribosomal RNA", at positions 1164 to 1477 of the family's 1533-position model. Lineage: Bacteria; Bacillati; Bacillota; Bacilli; Caryophanales; Bacillaceae. The record is from RNAcentral.